UCCCCCCUGAGGUGUCAAGUGGCAACAAUCAAAUUUGUGUGUGGAUGUGUGUGUGCACUUGCCGCCUUCGAAUGUAUACUAUCAUAAUUCUAUUCUCACCUCUCCUUACCCUCUCUCCCGACCCAUCUUUUAUUGUCAUGUUCCCCU
Molecule: non-coding RNA, 147 nt
Organism: Caenorhabditis elegans
Lineage: Eukaryota; Metazoa; Nematoda; Chromadorea; Rhabditida; Rhabditidae
Source: Ensembl